RNAcentral lists this ribosomal RNA (503 nucleotides) under uncultured bacterium. Its description in RNAcentral is "partial 16S ribosomal RNA". It matches the Rfam family "Bacterial small subunit ribosomal RNA", at positions 30 to 523 of the family's 1533-position model. The record is from RNAcentral.
AUUGAACGCUGGCGGCAGGCUUAACACAUGCAAGUCGAGCGGGGUGAUGGUGCUUGCACUAUCACUUAGCGGCGGACGGGUGAGUAAUGCUUAGGAAUCUGCCUAUUAGUGCGGGACAACAUCUCGAAAGGGAUGCUAAUACCGCAUACGUCCUACGGGAGAAAGCAGGGGAUCACUUGUGACCUUGCGCUAAUAGAUGAGCCUAAGUCGGAUUAGCUAGUUGGUGGGGUAAAGGACUACCACGGCGACGAUCUGUAGCGGGUCUGAGAGGAUGAUCCGCCACACUGGGACUGAGACACGGCCCAGACUCCUACGGGAGGCAGCAGUGGGGAAUAUUGGACAAUGGGGGGAACCCUGAUCCAGCCAUGCCGCGUGUGUGAAGAAGGCCUUAUGGUUGUAAAGCACUUUAAGCGAGGAGGAGGCUCUUUUGGUUAAUACCCAAGAUGAGUGGACGUUACUCGCAGAAUAAGCACCGGCUAACUCUGUGCCAGCAGCCGCGGUAA